Molecule: long non-coding RNA, 5798 nt
Organism: Camelus dromedarius (Arabian camel)
Lineage: Eukaryota; Metazoa; Chordata; Mammalia; Artiodactyla; Camelidae
Exons: 6
Source: RefSeq, a predicted model, not a curated record
AUAUAUAUAUAUAUAGUUUGGUAUUCUUGGCUCUGCUGUUUACAUUGCAGAUUGCUAUAAUUUCAAGGAGUUAUAUUAUAAAUAAAAUGAUGCACUUUAGGACGUUUUCUAUUUUUGAAAUCGGAACAUGAAUCAUUCACAUGACCAAAAAUUGUAUUUUUUAAAACAAAUACAUGUCUAGUUUGUCCUUUCUGAGUAGUUAUUCUCUUAAAUAAGCUAUAAUAUAAAUCAAAUCAUUACCAGUUGACUUUCAAAGCACAUCUGUUUGAGUAUUGUUUUGAAAAUACUGAUAUGCUACAGAACUUGAAAAGAGGAAAAUCUAUAUAAAUGAGAAGCUACUAAAUGUUUUGAAAUCUAUUGUCUCUGCCAAAGGUAAAUUAAGUAAAAGAUUUAUUCAGGAAACCCCCCCACUCAAAUUUGUAUGAUUGAAUAAAAGAAGACACCAAGUUAUAGUAAAAUAAAUAGUGUAUGGAAUGUCGUGUUUUCUUUUGUAGUUUCUAAUCAUCAAUAUAUUUCCUAGAAUAAAUGAAGAACAAAUGAAGGGGAGGAGCCCUGUUUAUGCUGGAUUCUAUCUGAAGACAUGUUAGUCGCCUCCAGAAUGUGUGAUGGAACCAGCCUGUGGCCUCUGACCCUUCCCUUCGGUAAGGAAUCACGCUGCUCCCCGAGCUCCUCAGAAGCCUCAUGAGGAUUAAGAUUUGUUGUUCUGUCUCCAGGGAGGGCACCCGAAGGUGACACUAACUGGGCGCAAGCUGGAUGUGCCUGUGAUGCUGGGUUGAAGAACAGGCUGGUGCUCUGUGCUCAGCUGCCUUUGAAACAAUUCAUGGAAGAGGCUGGAGGGAUGCAGAAAGAAAAACAUUAAGAAAAACAAUUGUUUAAGUACAUUUCCAAAGUCUAGGAGGCCAUCAUAGGUAAACACGCGAACCAUUCUCUACUUUGAAGCUAAUGAAGCCACCAGAAAACUGUGAUGGCGCAUUUCAGUUGUGUGAGGUGAGUGCCUCGCCCCUGGGGGGAGGUCAGGUCUGCAGGUGUUCUCUAAGUGACUCAAAUACACAUUCAAAAUAUAGUAAACAUGAAAUUUUUUUAAAAAAUGAAGGAUUGGAGUAAAGACCUUGUCCCAGUCCUGACACCAGGAUUCAACCCGAGAUAUGGCUGACUCGGGAGCACGAAGGUACAAGCACUGCUAACAGCACAAUUGCAUGCUUUCUGCCAAAACUGAAGCUCUCCCUGAAUAGUUUGAUUUUUGAAAUACUGGGUCCAAAGUAAUAGGCAGUAGGUAUUGAUCCUCCGUUUUCUUAAAUCCUAUUUCGUUGUUGCCCCUACGGGCGACUAGGGGGACUAGACAGUGAUGCGGGACCAGACAGUGAUGCUGGCCCUAGUACACCGGCUUCUAUAGCCUGGUGCAAAGACCGAGGGUCCUCCAAGCCCCAAGCCCCACCCUUGCCCCCCUGGGAAGUGGACAGCCUGAAGGGGAUUAGAGGAGGUACUGGGGAUUGAACCCAGGGCCUUGUGCAUGCUAAGCAUGCGCUCUACCACUUGAGCUACACCCUCCCCACUUUAAUCUUUCGAUGGUCUCCUUACUACCUCCUCUAGAAGUGGAUUCUGAAUCUUGUAAGACAAAAUGUAUCAGAGUUCUCCCUGAGCUGGGUCAGCUUAUCAAGGCUAUAAAUACACCGUUGAAUUUCAUAUUCAGUAAAAGCCAAAAGUCAAAAUUCCCAAGUGCAUUUUUAGAAUGCUGGUUGGCAGGCCAACAAAUGGGAUUUGGCAGGAACUGGCUUGUUGACAGCUUCUUAGUUUUCUUCUCCAUCAACAAGGCUUAUACCAGAGAGGGGCUCUGAGUUGUGCAGCAUCUGCCCCAGGGAAUGCACCCCAAUGCAAAAUGGACUAAGAACCUCCAUGUCUCAGCUGGUUCUCUGUGUGUAUGAAUUCUGUUACUGUGACUUUUUUUUUUAAUGAGGUAUGGUGAGUUUACAAUGUUGUGUCAAUUUCUGGUGUACAGCACAAUGCUUCAGUCAUACAUGAAUAUACAUAUAUUUGUUUUCAUAUUCUUUUUCACCAUAAGCUACUGUAAGAUAUUGUAUACAGUUCCCUGUGCUAUGCAGUAUAAACUUGUUAUCUAUUUUAUAUGUGCUAGUCAGCAUCUACAAAUCUCGAACUCUCAGUUUUUCCUUUCCCAUUCCCUUCCCCGCUGGUAACCACAAGCCUGUUUUCCAUGUCUGUUACUGUGACUUGAAACUCACAGUCUUUUACAUGUGAGUUUCUUUCAAAAGCAAUUCAAAGAUGCUAAGAAAUCCUGUCAUGCUUUUGGUUCUACGGCUUUCAGUGCUUCCUGGUAAGAUAUUUUGUGUUUUGUCUGUAACUUUCUGUUAAUUUUGAAGAACUUAAAAUGACAGGACAAGAUUAGACAAAGAGGAGGGAAGGCAGGGAGGGAGACAGUGAAGAAUCUGUUUCUCUCUGAUAUCAGAGAGCAGGGUUUCUUGAGCUGGAAUACUGGCUAGGGGUCGAAUAGUACAGUUGUCCCAUGGGUGCCUAACAACCUGUGUUUCUGAUAAGCUUCCAGGGGCUUUGAUGCUGCUGAUCCCAAGUCCCUCGUUUAAGUAGAGGGUGCAGACUGCAUCCUGGGUGUUUGUGGAAAUAAGCAGCUUCAGUCAAUUCAAAAUCCAAAAUUGACAGCGAUCGGCACACUUGCCAACACCAGUGGAGGCCAAAUGCUGCUUGAUGCUUAAGAUCCAGACUAUAGACAGAUGGCUUAGCUCUGUGACCAGACACACUCCUUACCCUCCCUGUCUCCGUUUCUCCAUCUGAAAAAUGGGAAUAAUUGUCAUAGCUGCCUCACCAAGGUUAGUAUGGGAACUUACCUGGAUGAACAUAAAGGGAUCACACUCUAAAUCUUCAGUCAAUAAUGGUGGUGGGCUAUUAUCAUCAGCAUUGAGACAAAGAUACGCUCUUACGUGGAAAUCCAACAAGACAUUUUGUAUCGCUACAGAAAAGGAAUUGUAUUUCCCUCACCACAACUCCCCUCACCCUGUGAUCCCUUGUUUGUAUAAGUCAGAAACAGCGGGCAUCUCCAGCCCUUUACAAAUCAGUACUAACUGGUAAGCAUGAUUUUAUGGAAACACCGACCCAUUCUCUUGGUCUGAAAAGUAAAAUUCUGACUAUUCUCAAAGCAAUUUGCAUCAAAACCUGUGUGCAGCUUUCUCCAAAAGAUCUUUGCUGGCUAAAUUCCCUCCCUCACAGAGCAGGAAAGACUCCUCUUAAGUCUACUCCCUGAAACAUUUUGGGAGGUCCAUAUCUGCUCAGACACGUAAGAAGAAUUAACUGAGAUGGCAGCUGAAACCAACAUGGGAAUGCCAAGUUCUGUGGAGGGAAGGAACAGAAUAACCUUUGAACUGAUUUCUAGGUCGUUUGGUGUCUUGAAAUCUCUGUCUCAGGGUGUAUUUUUAAACCCCUAAAAACUAGGCGUACCCUAGGGAGGAGACUUGCUGAUUUUGGAAGCUCCUAAUUAGUGUGCUACAUUUCAUCAAGCCUGUGGGCAAGGCAGAGACUGGGUGGGGUCUGGGGUCCUCCCCCAGGCCCUCAUCAGCCCCAGAGGGGCAAAGUGGACGUGCCACUGCUCAGCCGGCAACAGGGCAAGUUUUGGGUUCAGAUGAUCUGACGCUAGCAUUGAGUGAGGUGCUGCCCCCCAUCACCUCGGCAACAGAAACUCCAGGUCUCAUCUCCAUACAAUCUGCCAGUGACUUGAACUUGAGAGUCCUUGAGUCUACUACACCAACAUCCGAGCUCCUGGGAGCGCCCAGGCAGGAAAGGUCAGGAGACCCAUUUUUAACAAGAAGCCUCUGGCAGUGGCAGGCUGGUCCUGCUGGGACCACAAGCCAGUACCUAGUUGGCACUUGCUGUUGACCUUGGCCCUCAAGAGCUCCAGCUUCUUAUGACACCGUGGGGAACGGGGUGUCAUUUCUGAAUCUGCUCUUUGGCUUUCUUUUUCUCCUAAUCCUAACGAAACAGUGACUGGGAAAGACUUCUGGUUUAACAUUUUCCUUCAUCUGAGGAGUGUGUGUGUGUUCUUAUUUAAUUCCUCAGGAAGUUCAACACCAAUGGGAGCUGAAUCAAUAAUUACCAGAGAUUGUAUCCAACUCCCCUGGGAUUAGGCCCCAGAAAAUCUGCUUUCAAAAGAUAUGAAGACCAUGUGAUUGUGCCUCCUGCCAAGCAUCCUGCCAUUCUUGCAAGAAAAACAAAAAAGAAAAGCUGACAUCUGAACUAAUUUUCUCCAUGCCACACACAGCUCAGAAGGACACAUGCCAUUAGUUUUAGAAGGAAAUAAAGCACCAAAGCCUGGAUUAGCUAAUCUGUGGGAGAGGCCGCUAUUAAUACAGAUGCAAAGAGUCUGCCCACAGUGCGGUGGGCCCCUCCUCCAGCACCUGUUCUGUUGCCUGUCCCAGUUUCUCGCUACACAAGUGAAAGUUGUUUCAGAUGGACGCCCAAACCCACACCUGAUUCGGUGUGGGCGAGCAGCCCUGCCUGUGUUUGAGUCCAUCUGGGUUAGCAUCCCAAAGAAAAGAGCUGUAGUCAGAGACUGACAUCUGCCACACUCUUCGCAGGGCUCUGCUCUCAGGAGAAUUUCUGAAGCCAUGAGGACCUACUCUCUUCCUUGUCACAAGCCCCUCCUCAGCUUUGUGAGACACUGUUCCUGCAGUACUUGAAUAUAUCACUCCAUUCUCUCCUGGAUGCAAGGUCUCUACUGGGAAAUCUGCUGAUAGCCUUAUGAGAAAAGAUCAUUUUAGAAUGAAAUUUUGGAGUAAGCUAUUAAUUUCAUGAACUUGGAAGUCCAUAUUUCUCCCAGGUUUGAGAAAUUCUCAGCCAUUAUUUCUUUAAAUAAGCUUUCUACCUCUUUCUCUGUCUCUUCUCCUUUUGUAACUCCAAUAAUAUGUACAUUGUUUCUCUUAACAGGGUCUCCUAAGUCCUAUAGGUGUUCUUCAGUCCUUUUCAUUCUUUUUGCUCCUCUGGAUAAUUUCAGUUGAUCUGACUCACUGAAUCUUUCUUCUUCAUCUUCAAGUCUGAUGUUGAAGCUCUCUACUGAAUUUUUCAAUUCAGUCAUUGUAUUCUUCAGCUCCAAAAUUUCUUUUUUAGAUUUUCUGUCUCUUUGAUGUACGUCUUAUUUGUUCUUGUCCUAUUUUCCAGAUAUGAUUAAAUUGUUUGUUCUCUUGUAGUCCUCAGAGCAUCUUUAGACAAUUUUCUUAAACUAUCAGGCAAUCCUGGAUCUCUGUUUCUUUAGGGCCAGUUACUGGAGGUUGACUGUAUUCCUUUGAUGGAGAGGUCUCCCUGAUUCUUCAUGAUCCCUGUAGCCUUGCAUGAGUGUCUGCAUUUCAAGAAGCAGUCAUCUCUUACAGACAUUAUGGACUGACUUUGGGUGAUGGAGGCUGGGUAUCCUACGUUGCCAUUUUGAUGAUGUCACCUCCAGUCCUGCAACUCAGGAGCAGCCAGAUGGAAGGGCAGGGCUGCAACAAGCCAGGAGCAUUUCCAAGGCUGCAGAGAAAGGAGACAUUCUGCAUGUGCAGGUGAGAAAGGACGGAUAAUCAAAUCAUUCUUGCAGAGGAAUGAGAAGUUAGACGAAGGACAAGGAAGCAUCGUGAGGAAAGAUCAGGGCUGAGAGAGACACUGGGGAAAUGUGAGUUUAAAAAUCCACUGCCAUUUUAUCCAGCAGAGUGCAACACAGCCACAAGUGCAAGGAAUACGGGCUAAUUUGGUUUAAAAACAAAAACCCCUCCCACACAAGAGCCAAUUUUUCACCCCAUCCCCAGCCC